GGGGAAUAUUGGACAAUGGGCGAAAGCCUGAUCCAGCCAUGCCGCGUGAGUGAAGAAGGCCUUAGGGUUGUAAAGCUCUUUCGCCGACGAAGAUAAUGACGGUAGUCGGAGAAGAAGCCCCGGCUAACUUCGUGCCAGCAGCCGCGGUAAUACGAAGGGGGCUAGCGUUGCUCGGAAUCACUGGGCGUAAAGCGCACGUAGGCGGAUUGUUAAGUCGGGGGUGAAAGCCCGGAGCUCAACUCCGGAACUGCCUCCGAUACUGGCGAUCUUGAGUUCGGGAGAGGUGAGUGGAACUGCGAGUGUAGAGGUGAAAUUCGUAGAUAUUCGCAAGAACACCAGUGGCGAAGGCGGCUCACUGGCCCGAUACUGACGCUGAGGUGCGAAAGCGUGGGGAGCAAAC
This 400-nucleotide ribosomal RNA is filed under the name uncultured bacterium. RNAcentral describes it as "bacterial SSU rRNA". It matches the Rfam family "Bacterial small subunit ribosomal RNA", at positions 356 to 773 of the family's 1533-position model. The record is from RNAcentral.